UUAAGCAUAUCAAUAAGCGGAGGAAAAGAAACCAACAGGGAUUGUCUUAGUAACGGCGAGUGAAGCGACAAAAGCUCAAAUUUGAAAUCUGGCACCUUCGGUGUCCGAGUUGUAAUUUGAAGAAGGUAACUUUGGAGUUGGCUCUUGUCUAUGUUCCUUGGAACAGGACGUCACAGAGGGUGAGAAUCCCGUGCGAUGAGAUGUCCAACUCUAUGUAAAGUGCUUUCGAAGAGUCGAGUUGUUUGGGAAUGCAGCUCUAAGUGGGUGGUAAAUUCCAUCUAAAGCUAAAUAUUGGCGAGAGACCGAUAGCGAACAAGUACAGUGAUGGAAAGAUGAAAAGAACUUUGAAAAGAGAGUGAAAAAGUACGUGAAAUUGUUGAAAGGGAAGGGUUUGAGAUCAGACUUGGUAUUUUGUAUGUCUUGCUUUCGGGUGGGGCCUCUGCAGUUUACUGGGCCAGCAUCGGUUUGGACGGUAGGAUAAUGACAUUGGAAUGUGGCACUACUUCGGUGG
RNAcentral lists this ribosomal RNA (511 nucleotides) under Scheffersomyces shehatae. Its description in RNAcentral is "eukaryotic LSU rRNA". It matches the Rfam family "Eukaryotic large subunit ribosomal RNA", at positions 34 to 552 of the family's 3401-position model. The record is from RNAcentral. Lineage: Eukaryota; Fungi; Ascomycota; Pichiomycetes; Serinales; Debaryomycetaceae.